Molecule: ribosomal RNA, 602 nt
Filed under: Wakarumbia nepeensis (nomen nudum)
Lineage: Eukaryota; Metazoa; Arthropoda; Insecta; Coleoptera; Lycidae
Description: partial 16S ribosomal RNA
Rfam family: Bacterial large subunit ribosomal RNA
Source: RNAcentral
CAUGUCCUUUUGAUAAUAAUUUAAGGUCUGAUCUGCUCAAUGAAAUUUAAAUUGCCGCAGUAUUUUGACUGUGCAAAGGUAGCAUAAUAAUUAGUUUUUUAAUUAAGAACUGGUAUGAAUGAUUGGACAAGAAAAUUACUGUCUCUUUUUUAAUUUUUAUUGAAUUUUAUUUUUAAGUGAAAAAGCUUAAAUUUUUGUAAAAGACGAGAAGACCCUAUAGAGUUUAAUAUUCUUAGCUAUUUAGAUAUAGAAUUUUUUUUUGUUAAGGUUUAUUUGGUUGGGGUGAUUUGAAGAUUGAAUUAAUUCUUUAACUAUAAAAUUAGUGAUUUCUAAAAUAAAAUUCUAUAAUUUGUAAGUUUAAAAUAAAUUACCUUAGGGAUAACAGCGUAAUUUUUCUUUAAAGUUCUUAUUAAAAGAAAAGUUUGCGACCUCGAUGUUGGAUUAAAAUUAAUUUUUGGUGCAAUAACUUAAAAAUUAGGUCUGUUCGACCUUUAAAAUUUUACAUGAUCUGAGUUUAAACCGGUGUAAACCAGGUUGGAUUCUAUCUUUAAAUAAUUAUUAUAUUUUAGUACGAAAGGACCAAAUAUUUGUUAAAUUAAUUG